RNAcentral lists this ribosomal RNA (983 nucleotides) under uncultured Bacteroidota bacterium. Its description in RNAcentral is "bacterial SSU rRNA". It matches the Rfam family "Bacterial small subunit ribosomal RNA", at positions 9 to 987 of the family's 1533-position model. The record is from RNAcentral. Lineage: Bacteria; Pseudomonadati; Bacteroidota.
GAGUUUGAUCCUGGCUCAGGAUGAACGCUAGCGGCAGGCCUAACACAUGCAAGUCGAGGGGUAACAUUGGUGCUUGCACCAGAGUGACGACCGGCGCACGGGUGCGUAACGCGUAUACAAUCUACCCUUUACUAAGGAAUAGCCCAUGGAAACGUGGAUUAAUGCCUUAUAGUAUGGUGACCUCGCAUGGGGAUAUCAUUAAAGAUUACGGUAAAGGAUGAGUAUGCGUCCUAUUAGCUAUUAUGUAGGGUAACGGCCUACAUAGGCUAUGAUAGGUAGGGGUUCUGAGAGGGAAAUCCCCCACACUGGUACUGAGACACGGACCAGACUCCUACGGGAGGCAGCAGUGAGGAAUAUUGGACAAUGGGAGCAAUCCUGAUCCAGCCAUGCCGCGUGCAGGAAGACGGUCCUAUGGAUUGUAAACUGCUUUUAUACAGGAAGAAAAAGCCAGACGUGUCUGGUGUUGACGGUACUGUAUGAAUAAGGAUCGGCUAACUCCGUGCCAGCAGCCGCGGUAAUACGGAGGAUCCGAGCGUUAUCCGGAAUUAUUGGGUUUAAAGGGUCCGUAGGCGGGAUAAUCAGUCAGUGGUGAAAGUUUGUGGCUCAACCAUAAAAUUGCCAUUGAUACUGUUAUUCUUGAGUUAUUGUGAAGUGGUUAGAAUGUGUAGUGUAGCGGUGAAACGCAUAGAUAUUACACAGAAUACCAAUUGCGAAGGCAGAUCACUAACAAUUAACUGACGCUGAUGGACGAAAGCGUAGGUAGCAAACAGGAUUAGAUACCCUGGUAGUCUACGCAGUAAACGAUGGUUACUAGCUGUUCGGUCUAAUUGAGGGCUGAGUGGCUAAGCGAAAGUGAUAAGUAACCCACCUGGGGAGUACGUUCGCAAGAAUGAAACUCAAAGGAAUUGACGGGGGCCCGCACAAGCGGUGGAGCAUGUGGUUUAAUUCGAUGAUACGCGAGGAACCUUACCAAGGCUUAAAUG